This 481-nucleotide ribosomal RNA is filed under the name uncultured bacterium. RNAcentral describes it as "bacterial SSU rRNA". It matches the Rfam family "Bacterial small subunit ribosomal RNA", at positions 30 to 506 of the family's 1533-position model. The record is from RNAcentral.
UGAACGCUGGCGGAAUGCUUUACACAUGCAAGUCGAGCGGCAGCGCGGGGGCAACCCUGGCGGCGAGCGGCGAACGGGUGAGUAACAUAUCGGAACGUACCCUAUCGUGGGGGAUAACACAUCGAAAGAUGUGCUAAUACCGCAUACGACCUGAGGGUGAAAGCAGGGGAUCGCAAGACCUUGCGCGACAGGAGCGGCCGAUAUCGGAUUAGCUAGUUGGUGAGGUAAAGGCCCACCAAGGCGACGAUCCGUAGCUGGUCUGCGAGGACGACCAGCCACACUGGAACUGAGACACGGUCCAGACUCCUACGGGAGGCAGCAGUGGGGAAUUUUGGACAAUGGGGGCAACCCUGAUCCAGCCAUUCCGCGUGAGUGAAGAAGGCCUUCGGGUUGUAAAACUCUUUCGGCAGGAACGAAACGGUGAGCUCUAACAUAGCUUGCUAAUGACGGUACCUGAAGAAGAAGCACCGGCUAACUACGU